RNAcentral lists this ribosomal RNA (44 nucleotides) under Scytonematopsis contorta HA4292-MV4. RNAcentral's name for it is "partial 23S ribosomal RNA". The record is from RNAcentral. Lineage: Bacteria; Bacillati; Cyanobacteriota; Cyanophyceae; Nostocales; Scytonemataceae.
GUCAAGUUAUUAAGGGCUUGUGGUGGAUACCUAGGCACACAGAG